This 497-nucleotide ribosomal RNA is filed under the name uncultured bacterium. RNAcentral describes it as "partial 16S ribosomal RNA". It matches the Rfam family "Bacterial small subunit ribosomal RNA", at positions 30 to 523 of the family's 1533-position model. The record is from RNAcentral.
AUUGAACGCUGGCGGCAGGCUUAACACAUGCAAGUCGAGCGGGGUGAUGGUGCUUGCACUAUCACUUAGCGGCGGACGGGUGAGUAAUGCUUAGGAAUCUGCCUAUUAGUGGGGGACAACAUCUCGAAAGGGAUGCUAAUACCGCAUACGUCCUACGGGAGAAAGCAGGGGAUCACUUGUGACCUUGCGCUAAUAGAUGAGCCUAAGUCGGAUUAGCUAGUUGGUGGGGUAAAGGCCUACCAAGGCGACGAUCUGUAGCGGGUCUGAGAGGAUGAUCCGCCACACUGGGACUGAGACACGGCCCAGACUCCUACGGGAGGCAGCAGUGAGGAAUAUUGGUCAAUGGGCGCAAGCCUGAACCAGCCAUCCCGCGUGCAGGAUGAAGGCCCUAUGGGUUGUAAACUGCUUUUGUACGCCAAGAAAACUCGUGACGUGUCACGAUCUGACGGUAGUGUAUGAAUAAGCAUCGGCUAACUCCGUGCCAGCCGCCGCCGUAA